ACUCGUCAGGGCGAGUAUAAACAGUCCAUUAGGCCCUGAGCGUCCCCCCACCCGCUGUGGGGGGGUUGGA
This 70-nucleotide ribozyme is filed under the name unclassified sequences. Its description in RNAcentral is "pistol ribozyme". It matches the Rfam family "Pistol ribozyme". The record is from RNAcentral.